Molecule: long non-coding RNA, 2206 nt
Organism: Neofelis nebulosa (Clouded leopard)
Lineage: Eukaryota; Metazoa; Chordata; Mammalia; Carnivora; Felidae
Exons: 3
Source: RefSeq, a predicted model, not a curated record
UUUGUGGGCCAGCGCUCUUGACCGAGAUGCAAAGGCCUUAUCAGCCAAGCAGAUGGCUGGACCAGCUGCCACUUCCCAGGGAGACCAGGAGUUUCCCCCUGGGUCAGCAGGGAGGGGUUUCCUGCGAGGAUCCCACGUGCCAAGUCCUCGGGGAUGCAAGACAUUCUGAGGAUGUGACUUACACGGGGAAGCUCACCAGGACUUCUCCGAUUCGAUAUAAAUAACUCUGCACUGGCAGAUGGGGCGCGAGCCAAGUAGUAAUGAAUACUAGGACAAACAAACAGGCCUCCGGGAUGCCGGCCCAGCCGCUCCAAACCACAGUUGGCAACAGGUUUGGAGGUGGCAGUGGGCGAAAAUCGUACCAGCAACACUGCAGUAAUCCUCGGGAGCGAACGCAGGGAAGCUCUCUCCAGAGCGUGCCCUGCUUGAGAGACAGCAAGAGUCAUGAGACCGCUCCCGGCCCGCCUUUGGCAAACAAGAGUCUAUAAUUAUGCAGACGUGCAUGGGAGCAGAAGGAAAUCCUGGAUUGCGUCUAGCAGUAUCGUAUGCUGCACAACAAAUCCUGUAUAGGAAGGACAGAAAACCACCUCGCCGAGACAUGUGGGUAAAGAUUUGAAAAGGAGGAAGGAGCAACCCAUGAGAAUAUUGAAGGGGAAGACCACUGCGGACAAAGAGAACAGCAAAUACCGCGGCUCAGAGGUAGGGUGCACCGGCUGUAUUUGACUUCCUUAGCAGAGGUCAGUGUGGGCGGAAAAGUGGGGGGCCGGGGGGGGGGGGUGCGUCUAAGAGGUAAUGGGAGGCAGGUCCUGGGAAGUUUGCAGAAUAAGAGCACAUACACCAGGCAGCAAUCACACUUCAAAGGCCCAUGUGAAGUUAAUGGUUAUGACUUUAUAUUUGAAUUUAGCUGUAAAAUGUGGCUUGAGAGCAAUCCCUAAAGCUCCUUCCGUGCUGGCUUAUCUGACGGGUCUUCUCUCGUGUCCGGAGUCGGUUCCUCCCUUUAGUCCAUCUUUGAUCUUUUCCCUGACCCUCAUCCUUGUUCCUACCUCCCUCUGCCCUACAUAGAACUGACAUUGCAUCAUGGUAACUGUUUUCUGCCUUCAACCAGGAACCCCUCAAGCACGACGAGGAGCCGUCAUCCUUGAAGGCAAUGCUCAAUAAAUUGAACUGCACUCUAUACAAUCCCACCAGACUAUUGUAGGAAAGGGCUAAAUGGCAACCGUUUGCAAGAAGAUUCUUUCGGUGCUGUCGCCAGAUUUGGUUUGUCUUUAAGCACCCUGCUGAAUGUGCAAUCAAUAUUUCAGUAAUUAUGUACAAAUAGUUCUCAUUAUAAAUCAAAGUUGUUAUUACUGCCUUAAGCUUUGGCCUUGGUCUCUUUUCUGGGAGACCGGGCUGUUUUCCCGGAGUCGGCGGCCUCAGCUGGCUCCCAUGCCGCUCCCCUACAAAGCUGCACGCCGGGGUUAGCUGGUUAAGGAGGACAGAAACCAGUCUCCGGACACAGCUGGAGUAAAUCUUAAGCACAACACUCACCAGCGAAGAGGAGCGGGCCUCUGCUCCUAAAUGCAGGAUUGUGGCUAGAAGGCCACCAUGACCCCUAAGAGCACAAAACUCUCUGAGGAAUUAUUGAGACCUAAGGUCACUCGACCUGAAGAAAGCUCUGGAACACGAACUGCAAGGCAGAGUUGUCCCAGUUGAUGUCCUCCUGUCAUUGGCCCCUAGGGGCUGGUCAGUCACAGGGUGCUUCCUGCAUGGGGCAGGGUGCUUGCGGGCGUAGGGGAUACCCCCCAAGCAAGGCAGGCUCUGUGUGCCAGGCCAGCUGUCCAGAGAAACAGCUCCAGGCAGCUGGGGGACAGGUGCGCUGGCCAGGGAAGGGGCACCUAGAUUAGCACCCAGGCCAAUCAGCGCACACUCCCUGGAGAUUCAAACUAGAACCAGAAGGCUUAGCCAACAAAGAUGAAGGGAAGCACAAACUCUGUACACUUUUUCUUCUUUCCCCACAAGGAAUUAGGCUUAGUUGCAAACCAAGACAAAAGGGUUCUUCAGGGAGUGGUGUCCUUAAGAUGAGGAAAUCCACAGGUAGCCCAACCUUUUCAUGAAAGUUCUUGUCCCGUCACUAGCAAAUGGCUCAGCUGUAUCUGAACCUGUUCAAAGCACGAGAAUACAUAGUGUUCCUUCUCGCCAGGGGGUCCUACCUCUGAAUUCUCUAUAA